RNAcentral lists this ribosomal RNA (443 nucleotides) under uncultured bacterium. RNAcentral's name for it is "partial 16S ribosomal RNA". It matches the Rfam family "Bacterial small subunit ribosomal RNA", at positions 338 to 795 of the family's 1533-position model. The record is from RNAcentral.
CCUACGGUGGGCAGCAGUGGGGAAUAUUGGGCAAUGGAGGAAACCCUGACCCAGCAACGUCGCGUGAAUGAUGAAGGUCUUCGGAUUGUAAAGUUCUUUUCUAAGGGAAGAAGAAAGUGCCGGUACCUUAGGAAUAAGCCUCGGCUAACUACGUGCCAGCAGCCGCGGUAAUACGUAGAAGGCGAGCGUUAUCCGGAAUGACUGGGUGUAAAGGGUGCGUAGGUGGUUUGUCAAGUUAGUAGCGUCACUCCAAGGCUCAACCUUGGAACUACUACUAAAACUGGUGGACUUGGGUGCAGGAGGGGCGACCUGAAUUCGUAGAGUAGCGGUGGAGUGCGUAGAUAAUAGGAGGAACACCAGUGGCGAAGGCGGGUUGCUAGACUGUAACUGACACUGAGGCACGAAGGCGUGGAGAGCAAACAGGAUUAGAUAACCUUGUAGUC